Molecule: ribosomal RNA, 312 nt
Filed under: uncultured Megasphaera sp.
Lineage: Bacteria; Bacillati; Bacillota; Negativicutes; Veillonellales; Veillonellaceae
Description: bacterial SSU rRNA
Rfam family: Bacterial small subunit ribosomal RNA
Source: RNAcentral
GAGGGGUUUUUGCGUCUGAUUAGCUAGUUGGAGGGUAACGGCCCAACAAGGCGACGAUCAGUAGCCCGGUCCUGAGAGGAUGAACGGCCACAUUGGGACUGAGACACGGCCCAGACUCCUACGGGAGGCAGCAGUGGGGAAUCUUCCGCAAUGGACGAAAGUCUGACGGAGCAACGCCGCGUGAGUGAAGACGGUCUUCGGAUUGUAAAGCUCUGUUAUACGGGACGAACGGCAAGGUGGUAAAUAGCCAUCAUGAGUGACGGUACCGUAAGAGAAAGCCACGGCUAACUACGUGCCAGCAGCCGCGGUAAU